This is a long non-coding RNA of Fukomys damarensis (Damara mole-rat), 304 nucleotides long. RefSeq lists it as uncharacterized. NCBI's taxonomy places the organism in Eukaryota, Metazoa, Chordata, Mammalia, Rodentia, Bathyergidae. The transcript has 3 exons. The record is from RefSeq and is a predicted model, not a curated record.
CUCCCCGCGAGGACUCUGUCUUCUUCCCCAGGAACCCUGAGUCUGUAGCCUCAAAUCUCCCACGUCCCGGGCUGCCUGGUUCCCCCUUGUCAUUGUCAACCAUGGAUCCCUUGCUGUUCAACUCAGAGCGACCAAAGUCCUAGGCCCAGUGAUGUGAUCUGUGAUCAGUUGCCAGGAGGGACGGAGACCCACAAGGGGAAAAGGAUCAUCCAUCCACAGCUCAGGGUAUAGUCAAAGCAGCUUACGGUGACAGAUUGAACGCAGAACCUGAUAGGAGCUUCUCGUAAACCGGAUGUCAGAGAGA